CACACUAUCAUUAACUGAAUCCAUAGGUUAAUGAGGCGAACCGGGGGAACUGAAACAUCUAAGUACCCCGAGGAAAAGAAAUCAACCGAGAUUCCCCCAGUAGCGGCGAGCGAACGGGGAGGAGCCCAGAGCCUGAAUCAGUGUGUGUGUUAGUGGAAGCGUCUGGAAAGGCGCGCGAUACAGGGUGACAGCCCCGUACACAAAAAUGCACAUAUUGUGAGCUCGAUGAGUAGGGCGGGACACGUGGUAUCCUGUCUGAAUAUGGGGGGACCAUCCUCCAAGGCUAAAUACUCCUGACUGACCGAUAGUGAACCAGUACCGUGAGGGAAAGGCGAAAAGAACCCCGGCGAGGGGAGUGAAAAAGAACCUGAAACCGUGUACGUACAAGCAGUGGGAGCCUCUUAAUGGGGUGACUGCGUACCUUUUGUAUAAUGGGUCAGCGACUUAUAUUCUGUAGCAAGGUUAACCGAAUAGGGGAGCCGAAGGGAAACCGAGUCUUAACUGGGCGUUAAGUUGCAGGGUAUAGACCCGAAACCCGGUGAUCUAGCCAUGGGCAGGUUGAAGGUUGGGUAACACUAACUGGAGGACCGAACCGACUAAUGUUGAAAAAUUAGCGGAUGACUUGUGGCUGGGGGUGAAAGGCCAAUCAAACCGGGAGAUAGCUGGUUCUCCCCGAAAGCUAUUUAGGUAGCGCCUCGUGAAUUCAUCUCCGGGGGUAGAGCACUGUUUCGGCAAGGGGGUCAUCCCGACUUACCAACCCGAUGCAAACUGCGAAUACCGGAGAAUGUUAUCACGGGAGACACACGGCGGGUGCUAACGUCCGUCGUGAAGAGGGAAACAACCCAGACCGCCAGCUAAGGUCCCAAAGUCAUGGUUAAGUGGGAAACGAUGUGGGAAGGCCCAGACAGCCAGGAUGUUGGCUUAGAAGCAGCCAUCAUUUAAAGAAAGCGUAAUAGCUCACUGGUCGAGUCGGCCUGCGCGGAAGAUGUAACGGGGCUAAACCAUGCACCGAAGCUGCGGCAGCGACACUAUGUGUUGUUGGGUAGGGGAGCGUUCUGUAAGCCUGUGAAGGUGUACUGUGAGGUAUGCUGGAGGUAUCAGAAGUGCGAAUGCUGACAUAAGUAACGAUAAAGCGGGUGAAAAGCCCGCUCGCCGGAAGACCAAGGGUUCCUGUCCAACGUUAAUCGGGGCAGGGUGAGUCGACCCCUAAGGCGAGGCCGAAAGGCGUAGUCGAUGGGAAACAGGUUAAUAUUCCUGUACUUGGUGUUACUGCGAAGGGGGGACGGAGAAGGCUAUGUUGGCCGGGCGACGGUUGUCCCGGUUUAAGCGUGUAGGCUGGUUUUCCAGGCAAAUCCGGAAAAUCAAGGCUGAGGCGUGAUGACGAGGCACUACGGUGCUGAAGCGACAAAUGCCCUGCUUCCAGGAAAAGCCUCUAAGCAUCAGGUAACAUCAAAUCGUACCCCAAACCGACACAGGUGGUCAGGUAGAGAAUACCAAGGCGCUUGAGAGAACUCGGGUGAAGGAACUAGGCAAAAUGGUGCCGUAACUUCGGGAGAAGGCACGCUGAUAUGUAGGUGAAGCGACUUGCUCGUGGAGCUGAAAUCAGUCGAAGAUACCAGCUGGCUGCAACUGUUUAUUAAAAACACAGCACUGUGCAAACACGAAAGUGGACGUAUACGGUGUGACGCCUGCCCGGUGCCGGAAGGUUAAUUGAUGGGGUUAGCGGUAACGCGAAGCUCUUGAUCGAAGCCCCGGUAAACGGCGGCCGUAACUAUAACGGUCCUAAGGUAGCGAAAUUCCUUGUCGGGUAAGUUCCGACCUGCACGAAUGGCGUAAUGAUGGCCAGGCUGUCUCCACCCGAGACUCAGUGAAAUUGAACUCGCUGUGAAGAUGCAGUGUACCCGCGGCAAGACGGAAAGACCCCGUGAACCUUUACUAUAGCUUGACACUGAACAUUGAGCCUUGAUGUGUAGGAUAGGUGGGAGGCUUUGAAGUGUGGACGCCAGUCUGCAUGGAGCCGACCUUGAAAUACCACCCUUUAAUGUUUGAUGUUCUAACGUGGGCCCCUUACCGGGGUUGCGGACAGUGUCUGGUGGGUAGUUUGACUGGGGCGGUCUCCUCCUAAAGAGUAACGGAGGAGCACGAAGGUUGGCUAAUCCUGGUCGGACAUCAGGAGGUUAGUGCAAUGGCAUAAGCCAGCUUGACUGCGAGCGUGACGGCGCGAGCAGGUGCGAAAGCAGGUCAUAGUGAUCCGGUGGUUCUGAAUGGAAGGGCCAUCGCUCAACGGAUAAAAGGUACUCCGGGGAUAACAGGCUGAUACCGCCCAAGAGUUCAUAUCGACGGCGGUGUUUGGCACCUCGAUGUCGGCUCAUCACAUCCUGGGGCUGAAGUAGGUCCCAAGGGUAUGGCUGUUCGCCAUUUAAAGUGGUACGCGAGCUGGGUUUAGAACGUCGUGAGACAGUUCGGUCCCUAUCUGCCGUGGGCGCUGGAGAACUGAGGGGGGCUGCUCCUAGUACGAGAGGACCGGAGUGGACGCAUCACUGGUGUUCGGGUUGUCAUGCCAAUGGCACUGCCCGGUAGCUAAAUGCGGAAGAGAUAAGUGCUGAAAGCAUCUAAGCACGAAACUUGCCCCGAGAUGAGUUCUCCCUGACUCCUUGAGAGUCCUGAAGGAACGUUGAAGACGACGACGUUGAUAGGCCGGGUGUGUAAGCGCAGCGAUGCGUUGAGCUAACCGGUACUAAUGAACCGUGAGGCUUAACCUU
RNAcentral lists this ribosomal RNA (2762 nucleotides) under Escherichia coli. RNAcentral describes it as "partial 23S ribosomal RNA". It matches the Rfam family "Bacterial large subunit ribosomal RNA". RNAcentral also lists the same sequence under 1 other name. The record is from RNAcentral. Lineage: Bacteria; Pseudomonadati; Pseudomonadota; Gammaproteobacteria; Enterobacterales; Enterobacteriaceae.